GGGUGAACCAAAGGCAAAAGAAAGACCUUUCUGUCUCUCUCUCUCUCACUGUCCACUCUGCCUGUCAAAAAUAGGAAAAUAAAACAAAAAAAAAAAAAAACAAAAAAAGAUAAAUUUCUUUGGUCGUAGGAGACCAGGAGGAAGCACUCUGCUCCUGGCUUCGCAUCAGCACAGCGCUGGCCGUGGUUGAUAUUUGGGGAGUGAAUCAAUGGAAGGAAGACCUCUCUCUUUAUCUCUCUCUGUCAAUGUCUAUAACUCUCUCUCUGUAUCUCUCUUUCACAGUCUACUCUGCCUGUGCAAAAAAAACAAAGAAAAUAGAUAUGUUUCUUCGGUGGAAAAAAAAUUUUUUUCAAAUCGUUAGUUUUUUUUUUUUGUUUUUUUUUUUUUUAAAUUUCAGGUUAGAGCCUCUUUCACAAACCAGACAUUUAUGGAUGAACAGGUGGAGAGGUCAUACUCUGGCAAGUUCUGAAUGCUCAGUGUUACUUGCAGGUUGGAUCAAUCAACUCUCUCCAUAAUCAGUGAUCUUCAUUUCCUGCGUCACAGCAUACUCCACUACCUUGGUGCCAUUUUCAUUGUGAGAAACGAAAUCAAAUUCCCCAGGUUCUUCCAAGUCAGAGAAGCAGAUGCCCUUGGCCAGCACCAUCCACAAUGGGCCCCAACACUCUUUCAAUGGAACAGGGGAAGGAGCUGUUAAAGCAAUGCGGGAUCCCUCAAAGAUAUGAAAUCUAAUAUUCAAUUAAAGAGCAAGCCCAAUCAGAAGCCCAAGGCUAUGAAUCAGACAGCAUGUCAUUCUGUAUGUCAUCAGCCUCUAAGGCCCCCUAAUGACAAUAACCUACAAGGAAGACUGCUGUGCCAGAGGACUUCCCCACCAGAUGGACAGUACAGCAAGGUGAAAUGCAAGAACUAUGGAGCCUUUGGGCACUUGGAAAAAAGCAAGAGGUGCCCCAUGAAGUCAUGGGGUGGGGCCCUUCCCUUACUGGCCUUGGGUCGCAAUCAGGAGAAGGAGAACCUGAAACCUAAGAAUCCUCACCAACUUCAGUCUGCAGAACCCUUGAGGAAGACUGACAGACAAGAGGAAGGAACUCAAAGGUAA
Molecule: long non-coding RNA, 1093 nt
Filed under: Oryctolagus cuniculus (rabbit)
Lineage: Eukaryota; Metazoa; Chordata; Mammalia; Lagomorpha; Leporidae
Description: lncRNA (ENSOCUG00000032332.1)
Source: RNAcentral